RNAcentral lists this ribosomal RNA (253 nucleotides) under uncultured bacterium. RNAcentral's name for it is "partial 16S ribosomal RNA". It matches the Rfam family "Bacterial small subunit ribosomal RNA", at positions 524 to 776 of the family's 1533-position model. The record is from RNAcentral.
UACGGAGGGGGCUAGCGUUGUUCGGAAUUACUGGGCGUAAAGCGCGCGUAGGCGGACCUGCAAGUCGGGGGUGAAAGCCCGAGGCUCAACCUCGGAACUGCCUUCGAUACUGCGGGUCUCGAGUCCGGGAGAGGUGAGUGGAAUUCCUAGUGUAGAGGUGAAAUUCGUAGAUAUUAGGAAGAACACCAGUGGCGAAGGCGGCUAUCUGGACGGUUUCUGACGCUAAGACGCGAAAGCGUGGGGAGCAAACAGG